This 243-nucleotide non-coding RNA is filed under the name uncultured Phascolarctobacterium sp. RNAcentral's name for it is "raiA RNA". It matches the Rfam family "raiA RNA". The record is from RNAcentral. Lineage: Bacteria; Bacillati; Bacillota; Negativicutes; Acidaminococcales; Acidaminococcaceae.
CUCAGGUCUGUGGUUGAAAGUCGAUGCCAGUUGCAGGCGAAGCGAUCCACGUAAGUAGCUUAAAUUAGCUAUGAGCACGGUGCAGUAUAGAAGUAAGUCCUGCCGCAGCGGUAAGAGAGUAUGAAUAAUAUUCCACCGUAUAAUUAAUGAUGACGGCGAGAGGAGUAGUAGUGGGGAGCGUAUGAUGCUUAGGAGCGAACCUUCCAGCAGGCGAGUGUGGGGGCGAAAACCAGGUCAGCUGAG